RNAcentral lists this transfer RNA (62 nucleotides) under Paraahimia luodianensis. RNAcentral's name for it is "tRNA-His". The record is from RNAcentral. Lineage: Eukaryota; Metazoa; Arthropoda; Insecta; Hemiptera; Cicadellidae.
AUUAAAAUAGUUUAAGUUAAAACAAGGAUUUGUGGGAUCCUAAAUCCUACUAGGUUUUAAUU